This is a long non-coding RNA of Daphnia pulicaria, 571 nucleotides long. RefSeq lists it as uncharacterized. NCBI's taxonomy places the organism in Eukaryota, Metazoa, Arthropoda, Branchiopoda, Diplostraca, Daphniidae. The record is from RefSeq and is a predicted model, not a curated record. The transcript is spliced from 3 exons.
ACUUUCUGUUAAUAUUAUAGAUUUUAUGUUGCAAAAGUGAAGGAAAGUCUGAAAUAAUUAACUUAAUAAUUUGUGUGAUGGUUCAUAGGGGAAGCUGCGGGAAUAAUCUAGUCUUCAUCCCCGCUUGAUUCAGUUCGUGCCAUUAGUGAAAGACGUGACGAAUUCAAGUUGAGGUGUUGCGUGCUGUCUGCAAGCAAGCAAUCCAAUCGUCUGUCGCUAGGUGGCUAAAAUGAUGUCCACCAGGUAGCGCCAUGUUGUUUCAAAUUUUAACAGACGCAGCCGAAAUGAGUGUUGAAUGUUGAAUGAUUAUCGUGACGUUUCCCAUGCUGAAAAAGUGAAAAUGAAAAGGUGAUUUAGCAUGUAAGCAUUUAAUGGGAAAAUUUUCUCGUAUCUUAAGUGCCUGUACAUUUCGAAAAAAUGUCGUGCCUCGAGCGUCUUGCUGCCUGUAGAUUUCCGUAAUUUAUACUUCAGAGCAAUUAAUGUGGGAGAUCCAUUUGCUUGUCUAUCAAAUAAUUUGAGAUCACAACAAAGUCUGAGCUUCAUUGCUGUCAUGCAGAUGGUUUCGUUUCAG